GGCCAGUUAGCACAGUUGGUUAGAGGGUGGUGCUAAAAACACCAAGGUUGCUGGUUCAAUCCCCGCAUGGGCCA
This is a non-coding RNA of Rhinolophus ferrumequinum (greater horseshoe bat), 74 nucleotides long. NCBI's taxonomy places the organism in Eukaryota, Metazoa, Chordata, Mammalia, Chiroptera, Rhinolophidae. The record is from the annotation of a RefSeq genome assembly.